This 468-nucleotide ribosomal RNA is filed under the name uncultured bacterium. Its description in RNAcentral is "partial 16S ribosomal RNA". It matches the Rfam family "Bacterial small subunit ribosomal RNA", at positions 28 to 507 of the family's 1533-position model. The record is from RNAcentral.
GACGAACGCUGGCGGCGUGCUUAACACAUGCAAGUCGAACGGAAGGGCCCUGCUUUUGUGGGGUGCUCGAGUGGCGAACGGGUGAGUAACACGUGAGUAACCUGCCCUUGACUUUGGGAUAACUUCAGGAAACUGGUGCUAAUACCGGAUAGGAGCUCCUGCUGCAUGGUGGGGGUUGGAAAGUUUCGGCGGUUGGGGAUGGACUCGCGGCUUAUCAGCUUGUUGGUGGGGUAGUGGCUUACCAAGGCUUUGACGGGUAGCCGGCCUGAGAGGGUGACCGGCCACAUUGGGACUGAGAUACGGCCCAGACUCCUACGGGAGGCAGCAGUGGGGAAUAUUGCACAAUGGGCGGAAGCCUGAUGCAGCAACGCCGCGUGCGGGAUGACGGCCUUCGGGUUGUAAACCGCUUUCGCCUGUGACGAAGCGUGAGUGACGGUAAUGGGUAAAGAAGCACCGGCUAACUACGUG